Podarcis lilfordi (Lilford's wall lizard) is the source of this 73-nucleotide non-coding RNA. The record is from the annotation of a GenBank genome assembly. Lineage: Eukaryota; Metazoa; Chordata; Lepidosauria; Squamata; Lacertidae.
GACCGUAGCUCAGUGCUAGAGCAUGUGCUUUGCAUGCAAAGAAAGUUCACAGGUUCAAUACCUGACAUCUACA